RNAcentral lists this ribosomal RNA (301 nucleotides) under uncultured bacterium. Its description in RNAcentral is "partial 16S ribosomal RNA". It matches the Rfam family "Bacterial small subunit ribosomal RNA", at positions 509 to 807 of the family's 1533-position model. The record is from RNAcentral.
CAGUCGCCGCGGUAAUACAGAGGGUGCGAGCGUUAAUCGGAUUUACUGGGCGUAAAGCGUGCGUAGGCGGCUUUUUAAGUCGGAUGUGAAAUCCCUGAGCUUAACUUAGGAAUUGCAUUCGAUACUGGGAAGCUAGAGUAUGGGAUAGGAUGGUAGAAUUCCAGGUGUAGCGGUGAAAUGCGUAGAGAUCUGGAGGAAUACCGAUGGCGAAGGCAGCCAUCUGGCCUAAUACUGACGCUGAGGUACGAAAGCAUGGGGAGCAAACAGGAUUAGAUACCCCGGUAGUCCCUGUCUCUUAUAC